UACGAAGGGGGCUAGCGUUGCUCGGAAUUACUGGGCGUAAAGCGCACGUAGGCGGAUCUUUAAGUCAGGGGUGAAAUCCUGGAGCUCAACUCCAGAACUGCCUUUGAUACUGGAGAGCUAGAGUCCGGAAGAGGUGAGUGGAACUGCGAGUGUAGAGGUGAAAUUCGUAGAUAUUCGCAAGAACACCAGUGGCGAAGGCGGCUCACUGGUCCGGUACUGACGCUGAGGUGCGAAAGCGUGGGGAGCAAACAGGG
RNAcentral lists this ribosomal RNA (254 nucleotides) under uncultured bacterium. RNAcentral's name for it is "partial 16S ribosomal RNA". It matches the Rfam family "Bacterial small subunit ribosomal RNA", at positions 524 to 777 of the family's 1533-position model. The record is from RNAcentral.